RNA transcript from Raphanus sativus (radish), 1905 nucleotides. RefSeq lists it as uncharacterized. Lineage: Eukaryota; Viridiplantae; Streptophyta; Magnoliopsida; Brassicales; Brassicaceae. The transcript has 4 exons. The record is from RefSeq and is a predicted model, not a curated record.
ACAGUCCAGGUGAAAAACACAUGACACAUCGUCUUCUCAGCUUCUAACUUCGUCCAAUCUCCGUUACCCAACCUCCUCUACAAUCAAACCUUUGCUUCAAUCUCCUCUUAAUGGUUUCUUUCCACCUCCCCUCUUUCUCAUUCUUUAUAUACUGUUUUUUUCUUUCUGUUCUACAAACCAAAACCCUAGAACCUGCUCUAUUUAAGCUCAAGCCAUGGCGAUCAAAACAAACGGCAAGUUCUCUGUCUCCUCUGCCAAUGAUCAAGGAGUUAUGUUCUUCAAAAAUAUCUCACCAGGUCCCACGAAACCCAGUUACACUACCUAUCUGAACCCAAUAAAAAGAUCCUUAUUGGUCUGGAAAUGCUCCUCAUCGACGAACAGGAGAAAUGUAUAUGUAAACAUGAUUGAUUUGAGAUUACUGAACUGGUCACUCCACCACCAUCUCUAAUAGCUGGAGUAGAAAAUUGGGAGAUUUAUACAUCUAAAAUAUGGUGGUGUUCUGUGUUGUACAUCUCAGCAUAUAUAUAUAUAUAUAUAUAUAUAUAUAUAUAUAUAUAUUCACUAAAACGUCUUUGUUUGCAUGCCAAAGAGUAUUGUGUUUGUUUAUUUGCUUAUAUGGUUCAGGUGUACUAUAUUUAGCUCUGAUUUCUAUAAAAUUCUUAAGUUGUUUGGAAUUUCCUUGCAGUUCUUCAACUAAUGUUGCUCAUAUUUUGGUUAGUAUCAGGUACCUCAAUAUUGACACAUCUGGAAGGUGAGCCAGGUUCUGAUGUCUUAUCACAGCAAUAAAUAUUGCUAAAAAGAGUAGGCUUUAUAAUGCUUCCUUUCAAUCUUUAAUUACUUACUAGAAAUUUAGACCAUACUAACGCCAGAGAAGAAAGAUGGGAUUUUACAUCCUGGGUUUGUUCAGUUAAUCUAAUUGUUCUUUUGUUCAACCGUGGAUGUUAGGGUAUUCAACUAUAAUCAUUUUUAAUUAAACAAUAGUCUUGAAAUAAUUUAUCUCCUGUCUACUCUUUGUUUGAUUCCAAAAUUCAAAUUUGUGGUCUUCCAUAUGGAAUUCAUGUUGCAGUGUUGUGAUAAAUUGGUUCCAAUAUAUAUUAAAUUGUAUGGGAUCAGGCAUGUGCGGAAGAAGAGCUCAAACAAAGUCGGUGAAGCAGCAAACCAACAUGGAAAAAAACAUAUGGUUACGGAAAGCUUUAAAUUGAAAAAGGAAGAAAGUGUUGUUUUUUGAGACUGUCAAGUCUCAGGUUGGAAAAUAUUGCAUCUAUCAGUUAAAUGAUUAGAUGAGAGAUUGGAUUUAGGUGACAGUGAACCAGGGUUUGAUGCUGAUCAUGAAUAUGGUGAAGGGGAGUUUGAAGAGAGAGAAUUGAAGCAAGAGGAACAUGGGUUGGUUAAUCAGAUGGAUGAAAAACUUGAGGAGGAAACAGAGGCCGAUGAAAAUGCAGGUGAGUUUACCGACGACAUUGGGAGGGGCUAGAGUGUCAAAGUAGUUAUGUGCAUGCUUAUGAUGAAAUUAAGCGUGGAGAAGCUGUUGAUGUGUAAGAAGAAAGAGAAGAGCAUCAUGAUGUGCUCCAUGACAGACGCUCGCUUAAGAAGUUUGAAAUAUUUGUUAGAAGCUUGGACAAAAGUACUACGGAAGAAGUUUUGAGAAAGUGUUUGUCCUGUGGCGCAGUGACUGAAAUAAAAUGAGGAUUAUAAUGAAAUGCAAGGGUUAUGAUUAGGCAAAAUGAGAUAUCCAAUAGUAAUCUUCUAUACUUAAGUAUUAGAUCGAGAGUUUGUGUAACUUUAUAGUGUACAUAAUGCUCUUGGUCAUCGUAUGUUCAACCAGUAUGUAUAAGGAUUGACCAUAUUUAGGCAAGUCUAUGCAUGGAUUGACCAUAUAUUAUCAAAUCUGAUGUUCUUUUAUUC